UGGAUAUUUUUUCCUCUGUUGUUUUUCUUUUAGCUCAGUCCUUGAAAGGUCCUGCCGAUGUCGCUGACAUUCCAGCUGGCUGAGAUGUUUGGCUCUGCUGGGAGACCCCUCCAUCCUCUUCCUGGUCAGGAAAGGGACACAACUGGGCCCUGGAAGACUGACUGGGUGGAGGGUGAAGGUGCUGAGAGUGGAGCUGUUCUGCGUUUGAGAGUAAAUGUGGAUGAACAUCCCUUACCCCUUGCUGAUGGAGCACUGUGGUGUCCGUGCCUGCCCUUCAUACCAAAUGGCUCGGAGAAUAAAUCCCACCAGACCCGCAGUCAGCCGGUGUUCAGGAGGAGAUCUGGGAUGUUAAAGAAGCAUAAAUACAUAUUUAACAGGAUGGCACCCUCGUGUUGCAUCAGGUGUAGAAAUACAGCAGUUUGAGUCAUUGCCUGCUGGACCGUCUCUGUGACAAAGUCAUUUAUAGUAAAGCCAGGGAGUGGUGCCUCUUCAGCUUGGAUGUCACAGCUCUUCAAGGGGGCUUUGUGGGAGCCUUUCUGGGGAUAGUUUGGUAAUAAAUUGACUUUUACUAAUCUGCUUUAAUUACCUGCUAAGACCAGAAUGCUUGCGUUUCCCUGGUGUGUAUUGUAGCUGUAUUUUUGCUUUAGGGGGUGAGUAGUUUCCCCUAAAAUGCAGUCAUGUACAUUUGUGUACACAUUUGUAUGGGCUAAUUAUAAACUCGCCAUCAGCGCCGCAAUAUCUGUACAGCAAAAGGGUUGUCACUGCUUGGAAAUGCCUGCUUUGGAGCAGAAAUCAGACCUUUUUUGUGGAAUCAUUUGGUCACAUCUUUGGGGUUUAGAUUUUCAAUGAAUAAUCAAUACCUGCAACAAAAGAUUUAAACAAAAAAAAAGGUGUUCAUUGAAGUUUCUCCACAGGAAAAAAUCGAUCCCAUGUAUUAUUAAAUACAAAGAGACUUAUGUCUUGAGUUUCAUCUCGCCACAGCUUAUAAUAACCCUUCAGAAGCUUGAAGCAGGGCUUUUUUUCAUUAAACAAAAUGUUGGGUUCCCCUGAGCAUCUCUCUACUUCAUUACAGGCAUGUGUUGGAAGUUGCCUGCACCCAGCAGCUCUGGCUUGGAG
Molecule: long non-coding RNA, 1116 nt
Filed under: Taeniopygia guttata (zebra finch)
Lineage: Eukaryota; Metazoa; Chordata; Aves; Passeriformes; Estrildidae
Description: lncRNA (ENSTGUG00000019739.1)
Source: RNAcentral